GCAACUAUUGGGUGAUCAUCUGGAAGAAUUGGGUCUGGGCGGCCAAUAACUGCUGCAUGGUGGCAGCAUUCCCUUCUGCAUCGGCAUUGUUAGCCUCAGCGUUGUUGACGGGGUUCCGGCGUCUCGGAGGCAUCUGUUUAGGGUAGCAUAGAUGAGGAAACAGAUAGAAUAGAGCUAAGGAUAACUAAACCCCCAAACAAGAUAUAACUCAAGCAUAUAUCAAUCAUACACUCAUCAAUCAAAAAGGUUUUGAAAAAUCAUAGCAAAACACACUUAUUUAUGGUGGGACAUUGCCCAUAAAGAAAAGAGUACGUGGAGAAAGCAAUCGACCUACAUUGACAUGCACAUAGAUUGUAUGGUCAAUGACUAACUCGCAAUACUGAUAAUGAAAAUAAAAAAAAUAAGUCUGGUAGGCAUCAACAGAUCUAAGGGAGUGUGGCUGUCGGUGUGGUCCCGUUCGCCUUCAUCUUGGAGCGGGUGUUGGUGGCAGGGGUGUCCAUCUCGUGGACCUCCUGGGGCUCCUCCUCCUCAGUCGGUUCCUCCUCCUGAGGC
RNAcentral lists this long non-coding RNA (552 nucleotides) under Brachypodium distachyon (stiff brome). RNAcentral describes it as "long non-coding RNA (BDIS_LNC004534)". Lineage: Eukaryota; Viridiplantae; Streptophyta; Magnoliopsida; Poales; Poaceae. The record is from RNAcentral.